Molecule: long non-coding RNA, 307 nt
Filed under: Elaeis guineensis (African oil palm)
Lineage: Eukaryota; Viridiplantae; Streptophyta; Magnoliopsida; Arecales; Arecaceae
Description: long non-coding RNA (EGUI_LNC020194)
Source: RNAcentral
UGGAUGUUGUUAUGCAGUUUUCAUCAGUAGGUUAUCCUAUUGUGGACAAUGCUAGGAAAAACACUAGAUAUCUUGAAGCUAUUGUAAUAGAUUGAUGAUCCUUUGCUUGGGCUCGUGUUUAGAAUGUUUUGAUAUAGAUCUCCUUCUUCUAGUCUGACGUUAUUACUUUAUCUGCUUAAAGUGGCUUGAGAUUUUUUCUUAAAUAAAAGUUUAAUUCUUAAAUCUGGAAGAUGUUAAUAGAUGAAAGAAGGCUAUAGAAUAUGAAGAGUAUCCGAUGUUCAAUAUUUCUUUCACUUUUGUUAACAGU